This 78-nucleotide transfer RNA is filed under the name Patescibacteria group bacterium. Its description in RNAcentral is "tRNA-Met". It matches the Rfam family "tRNA". From Rfam's summary of the family: Transfer RNA (tRNA) molecules are approximately 80 nucleotides in length. Their secondary structure includes four short double-helical elements and three loops (D, anti-codon, and T loops). The record is from RNAcentral.
CGCGGGGUAGAGCAGUCUGGUCAGCUCGUCGGGCUCAUAACCCGAAGGUCGUUGGUUCGAAUCCAACCCCCGCUACCA